This 554-nucleotide ribosomal RNA is filed under the name uncultured bacterium. RNAcentral describes it as "bacterial SSU rRNA". It matches the Rfam family "Bacterial small subunit ribosomal RNA", at positions 338 to 808 of the family's 1533-position model. The record is from RNAcentral.
CCUACGGGAGGCAGCAGUGGGGAAUUUUGGACAAUGGGCGAAAGCCUGAUCCAGCCAUUCCGCGUGCAGGACGAAGGCCUUCGGGUUGUAAACUGCUUUUGUACGGAACGAAAAAGCCUUGGCCAAUACCCAAGGUCCAUGACGGUACCGUAAGAAUAAGCACCGGCUAACUACGUGCCAGCAGCCGCGGUAAUACGUAGGGUGCGAGCGUUAAUCGGAAUUACUGGGCGUAAAGCGUGCGCAGGCGGUUAUAUAAGACAGAUGUGAAAUCCCCGGGCUCAACCUGGGAACUGCAUUUGUGACUGUAUAGCUGGAGUGCGGCAGAGGGGGGAUGGAAUUCCGCGUGUAGCAGUGAAAUGCGUAGAUAUGCGGAGGAACACCGAUGGCGAAGGCAAUCCCCUGGGCCUGCACUGACGCUCAUGCACGAAACGACGGUGGGGAGGACGAAACAAGGAGUUAGUAUACCCUACGGUUAGGUACCGACCGACCCGUAAACGACUACGUACUACGUAGGUUAGUUGGGUUCGUUCGUACUCGACUCGACGUACGAGACG